Molecule: long non-coding RNA, 787 nt
Filed under: Elaeis guineensis (African oil palm)
Lineage: Eukaryota; Viridiplantae; Streptophyta; Magnoliopsida; Arecales; Arecaceae
Description: long non-coding RNA (EGUI_LNC029760)
Source: RNAcentral
AAGCUUGGAUAUUAAGAUUCGAUUGGUCUUAAGUUGAGUUUCGAGUUCGAGUAUUUUGAAUCGAGUCAAACUCGAGUGUUUAGUUAUUUGACUCUGCUUUGCUUGAUUACACCCCUAGGCCUCGAUGAAAAUUAAGUGGUAGCUAGGUUGUAGUAGAAUAUUUGUCCAUUAAGUCUUAAGUUAGGUAAUCAACUGAAAUUCAUUCUAAGGAGGAAUUUUUGAAAUCAAAUACCAGAUAUUCUUUGGAUUUAAGUUUGGUUUCAGAUGGUUGCUCUGUUUCCAGUCUUGUAUUUGUUGUGCAGGGUUUUCUAUUUUUUUCUUGAUCAUCAGACGACCCUCCACAUUUCUUUCUUCUCCCUCUUGCUAGUUUGCUUUUCUAAGCAAACCUUCAUUUAAUUGAUAAACGAGUGAACGCACAAAUUAAAAUGGGAGUUGCAGGUGCUGAUGCAUCUGUGGCUUGGAGGUAAUAAGGUUACAAAAAGAUGGGAAGAUGAAGAAGGUUGGAGAUGAGAACAUGGUGGCGCCAAUGCGGUCAGAUUUUUUUGCAUGAUGAAUAUGCUGGAAGGUAAUGAAGGUUGGUAAGCUAAUUUGCAUUGUGAUACAUGAAAGAGGCUUUGCAAAUAUAAUUAUCAUCUAGGCGAACUACAGUUGCAUGUAGAAGUGGGAGUGAAAACGGGAGCAGCUUCAAGUGUGUGGAAGGGAAUGGUGAACCAAAAUAAUUAUAAGGGAGUGAGGGUGCGAUCAAAAGUGGUUUUUUGUGCAUAAGAUUUCCUGAUGUAUUUUACUA